Non-coding RNA from Schistosoma mansoni, 48 nucleotides. Lineage: Eukaryota; Metazoa; Platyhelminthes; Trematoda; Strigeidida; Schistosomatidae. The record is from Rfam.
AUCCAGCUGACGAGUCCCAAAUAGGACGAAAUGCGCUUUGUCCGGGAU